Molecule: long non-coding RNA, 432 nt
Organism: Alligator sinensis (Chinese alligator)
Lineage: Eukaryota; Metazoa; Chordata; Crocodylia; Alligatoridae
Exons: 3
Source: RefSeq, a predicted model, not a curated record
UGCAAGCGUCAUAGUAUCUUUGUUGUCUGCAGUCCUACCAACACCUACCAGAGUAAUGAUACAUCUGCAGAUAAAUUUGAACAGCAGCUGUGUGUGUUCCUUAAUGAUAUUCUGAGAAGAGAUAUCAUGAUCCUGGGCAACUGUAAUGCACAGGCACAGGAGAAAGUGGAAAAAGUACCUUUAUUAAACAGAUGAGGAUUAUUCAUGGAUCAGGUUACACAGAAGAGGACAGGAAAAGCUUCACAAAAUUGGUUUAUCAAAACAUAUUUACUGCCAUGCAAGCUAUGAUCAGAGCCAUGGAUACAUUAAAGAUACAGUACACUUCUGCAGAGAACAAGCAAAAGAAGGUCAUGAAGAAAUUGUUGGUAUUAGUCUGACUCAACUGAAGCACUGCAGUUACCAAACAUGAAAUUUACAGGAUAAGAAACAGGG